GAUGAACGCUGGCGGCGUGCCUAAAACAUGCAAGUCGUGCGGUAACAGGGAGAAGCUUGCUUCUCUGCUGACGAGCGGCGGACGGCUGAGUAACGCGUGGGAAUCUGCCCCAAAGUGAGGGAUAACUGCCCGAAAGGGUGGCUAAUACCGCAUAUGGUCUUCGGAUUAAAGCUAUUAGCGCUUCGGGAGGAGCCCGCGUAAGAUUAGAUAGUUGGUGAGGUAAUGGCUCACCAAGUCGACGAUCUUUAACUGGUUUGAGAGGAUGAUCAGUCAGACUGGAACUGAGAAACGGUCCAGACUCCUACGGGAGGUAGCAGUGGGGAAUAUUGGACAAUGGGCGCAAGCCUGAUCCAGCCAUACCGCGUGGGUGAAGAAGGCCUUCGGGUUGUAAAGCCCUUUUGUUGGGAAAGAAAUCCAGCUGGCUAAUACCCGGUUGGGAUGACGGUACCCAAAGAAUAAGCACCGGCUAACUUCGUGCCAGCCGCCGCGGUAA
Molecule: ribosomal RNA, 493 nt
Filed under: uncultured bacterium
Lineage: Bacteria
Description: partial 16S ribosomal RNA
Rfam family: Bacterial small subunit ribosomal RNA
Source: RNAcentral